This 359-nucleotide RNase P RNA is filed under the name Acetivibrio clariflavus. RNAcentral's name for it is "RNase P RNA component class A". It matches the Rfam family "Bacterial RNase P class A". Rfam says of the family: Ribonuclease P (RNase P) is a ubiquitous endoribonuclease, found in archaea, bacteria and eukarya as well as chloroplasts and mitochondria. RNAcentral also lists the same sequence under 1 other name. Lineage: Bacteria; Bacillati; Bacillota; Clostridia; Acetivibrionales; Acetivibrionaceae. The record is from RNAcentral.
UGAGUAAGUCAGAUAGUCGCGUGUAUGAUACCGAAAGGUUGUACAUGAGGAAAGUCCGGGCUCCAUAGGGCAGGGUGCCGGGUAACCCCCGGUGAAGGCGACUUCAAGGAUAGUGCAACAGAGAUAUACCGCCUGUUGGAAAUUCGUUUUCCGGCAUGGCAAGGGUGGAAAGGUGAGGUAAGAGCUCACCAGCGGCAUGGCGACUUGCCGGCUAUGUAAACCCCACCUGGAGCAACACCGCAAGAGGGACGUUAAGGUGGCCCGCUAGUCCCGGGUAGGUGGCUUGAACUUUACAGUAAUGUAAAGUCUAGAUAGAUGACUAUCGAAUACAGAACCCGGCUUAUAGACUUGCUCAAUAA